Molecule: ribosomal RNA, 460 nt
Filed under: uncultured bacterium
Lineage: Bacteria
Description: partial 16S ribosomal RNA
Rfam family: Bacterial small subunit ribosomal RNA
Source: RNAcentral
CCUACGGGGGGCAGCAGUGAGGAAUAUUGGUCAAUGGGCGUAAGCCUGAACCAGCCAAGUCGCGUGAGGGAUGAAUGUCCUAUGGAUCGUAAACCUCUUUUAUAAGGGAAUAAAGUGUGGCACGUGUGCUUUUUUGUAUGUACCUUAUGAAUAAGGAUCGGCUAACUCCGUGCCAGCAGCCGCGGUAAUACGGAGGAUCCGAGCGUUAUCCGGAUUUAUUGGGUUUAAAGGGUGCGUAGGCGGGCUUUUAAGUCAGCUGUGAAAGUCUGCGGCUCAACCAUAGAAUUGCAGUUGAAACUGGGAGGCUUGAGUAUGUUUGAGGCAGGCGGAAGGCGUGGUGUAGCGGUGAAAUGCUUAGAUAUCACGAAGAACUCCGAUUGCGAAGGCAGCUUGCCAAGCUAUGACUGACGCUGAUGCUCGAAAGUGUGGGGAUCAAACAGGAUUAGAUACCCGUGUAGUC